GAUGAACGCUAGCGGCAGGCUUAAUACAUGCAAGUCGUGGGGCAGCAUGAGUAGCAAUACUUGAUGGCGACCGGCAAACGGGUGAGGAACACGUACACAACCUUCCUUCAAGCGGGGAAUAGCCCAGAGAAAUUUGGAUUAAUACCCCAUAAUAUAUUUGAUAAGGCAUCUUAUUAAUAAUUAAAGCCUUCGGCACUUGAUGAUGGGUGUGCGGCUGAUUAGAUAGUUGGCGGGGUAACGGCCCACCAAGUCUACGAUCAGUAGCUGAUGUGAGAGCAUGAUCAGCCACACGGGCACUGAGACACGGGCCCGACUUCCUACGGGAGGCAGCAGUAAGGAAUAUUCGGGACAAAUGGGACGAAAGUCUGAUCCAGCCAUGCCGCGUGAAAGGAUUAAAGGUCCCUCU
RNAcentral lists this ribosomal RNA (406 nucleotides) under uncultured bacterium. Its description in RNAcentral is "bacterial SSU rRNA". It matches the Rfam family "Bacterial small subunit ribosomal RNA", at positions 28 to 423 of the family's 1533-position model. The record is from RNAcentral.